RNAcentral lists this transfer RNA (82 nucleotides) under Ensifer meliloti. RNAcentral's name for it is "Sinorhizobium meliloti tRNA-Val". Lineage: Bacteria; Pseudomonadati; Pseudomonadota; Alphaproteobacteria; Hyphomicrobiales; Rhizobiaceae. The record is from RNAcentral.
CCUGACGCUCGCCGACAUGCUUUACGCCCGGUUCGUUGACGACGACUUUGUAGGGGCCGGUUCCGAUGCCGGCCGUCGGGUC